This 424-nucleotide ribosomal RNA is filed under the name uncultured bacterium. RNAcentral's name for it is "bacterial SSU rRNA". It matches the Rfam family "Bacterial small subunit ribosomal RNA", at positions 358 to 773 of the family's 1533-position model. The record is from RNAcentral.
GGAAUAUUGCGCAAUGGGGGAAACCCUGACGCAGCGACGCCGCGUGGGUGAUGAAGGCCUUCGGGUCGUAAAGCCCUGUCGUAGGGGAAGAACCGGAAGUCGGCUAAUACCCGGCUUCCCUGACGGUACCCUACACGAAAGCACCGGCUAACUCCGUGCCAGCAGCCGCGGUAAUACGGAGGGGGCACGCGUUGUUCGGAAUUACUGGGCGUAAAGCGCGUGCAGGCGGCCGAUUAAGUCCGGUGUGAAAGCCCGGGGCUCACCCCCGGAAGUGCGCUGGAAACUGGUCGGCUAGAGUACGGGAGAGGGAAGCGGAAUUCCUGGUGUAGCGGUGAAAUGCGUAGAUAUCAGGAGGAACACCGGCGGCGAAGGCGGCUUCCUGGACCGAUACUGACGCUGAGACGCGAAAGCGUGGGGAGCAAAC